GAUGAAGAACGUAGCGAAAUGCGAUCAGUAAUGUGAAUUGCAGAAUUCAGUGAAUCAUCGAAUCUUUGAACGCACCUUGCGCUCCUUGGUAUUCCUUGGAGCAUGCCUGUUUGAGUAUCAUGAGCAAAUCUCAAAGUCGAUCCUUUUGUUAAUUCAAUUGGUUUGCUUUGGACUUGGAGGCCUUGCAGAUUUCACCGUCUGCUCCUCUUAAAUGCAUUAGCUGGAUCUCAGUAUUAUGCUUGGUUCCACUCGGCGUGAUAAGUAUCACUCGCUGAGGACACUGUAAAAGGUGGCCAGGAAAAUACUGAUCGAACCGCUUCUAACGGUCUAUUAACUUAGACAAUUACCCUUAAGUUUGAUCUCAAAUCAGGUAGGACUACCCGCUGAACUUAAGCAUAUCAAUAAGCGGAGGA
RNAcentral lists this unclassified non-coding RNA (413 nucleotides) under soil metagenome. Its description in RNAcentral is "partial contains 5.8S ribosomal RNA, internal transcribed spacer 2, and large subunit ribosomal RNA". The stretch from base 1 to 120 matches the Rfam family "5.8S ribosomal RNA", at positions 35 to 154 of the family's 154-position model. The record is from RNAcentral.